RNAcentral lists this long non-coding RNA (632 nucleotides) under Malus domestica (apple). RNAcentral describes it as "long non-coding RNA (MDOM_LNC003513)". The record is from RNAcentral. Lineage: Eukaryota; Viridiplantae; Streptophyta; Magnoliopsida; Rosales; Rosaceae.
UAUAUCUGGACGACGGGUUGUUUUUUGCUUUUGAUUAUUUUCACUUGUGAUGAAAUGCGGUAGAUUUUCUAGGUUUAUAAAUUUUGUAGGAGUUUGUGUCGGUGGGUUUCGGAGGGUAUGGGAUGUGUGAGGGAAAGGGAUGAUUUAGGUCUCAAUGGAAGACCUAGGGGCUUGAAUAAGGGAAUGGGACGGGGGUUGUGUGGGAUAAUUUCUGCUGCAGCAUCACUUGUGUGCUGCAUCCGGUUAUCUAUCGUUUUACUACCAAGAAAUGGAUUAAAAAAAAAAAAACUAUUUACCGUCAUUUGGAGUUUUGGUUCGAUUCGUCCUCGGUGUUACGAUUGGAUUCAUUUUGUUUGUUUUUGCGUUUGCCUAUCCGAUUGCUUUUGAUGUUUGUGAAUUUAUAAGGUUUUUUUAGCUAAAAUGAGAUUUGCAUAACACUCACUUUGGUUCCUGAGAUUGAAAAUCAAUAGAAAUGGUCAUUAGAUUGUCUACCUAAGCUCAAUGGUUGUCGGAUAUAGAUGGAAAAUAGCCUAAAAGAUGACUGGUCCGUGGGAAAAUUGUAAAUUCGUCAGAAACAGAGUAAACGUUUAUAACUUCUUCAAUAUUCAAUGAAAUUGAGUGAUUCAAAAACA